RNAcentral lists this ribosomal RNA (495 nucleotides) under uncultured bacterium. RNAcentral's name for it is "partial 16S ribosomal RNA". It matches the Rfam family "Bacterial small subunit ribosomal RNA", at positions 28 to 507 of the family's 1533-position model. The record is from RNAcentral.
GACGAACGCUGGCGGCGUGCCUAAUACAUGCAAGUAGAACGCUGAAGGAGGAGCUUGCCCUUCUGGAUGAGUUGCGAACGGGUGAGUAACGCGUAGGUAACCUGCCUGGUAGCGGGGGAUAACUAUUGGAAACGAUAGCUAAUACCGCAUAAUAGUAGAUGUUGCAUGAUAUUUACUUAAAAGGUGCAAUUGCACCACUACCAGAUGGACCUGCGUUGUAUUAGCUAGUUGGUGGGGUAACGGCUCACCAAGGCGACGAUACAUAGCCGACCUGAGAGGGUGAUCGGCCACACUGGGACUGAGACACGGCCCAGACUCCUACGGGAGGCAGCAGUAGGGAAUCUUCGGCAAUGGACGAAAGUCUGACCGAGCAACGCCGCGUGAGUGGAGAAGGUUUUCGGAUCGUAAAGCUCUGUUGUAAGAGAAGAACGAGUGUGAGAGUGGAAAGUUCACACUGUGACGGUAUCUUACCAGAAAGGGACGGCUAACUACGUG